CACUGCCGAGAAAAGCCUCUAGAUAGAAAAUAGGUGCCCGUACCGCAAACCGACACAGGUAGUCAAGAUGAGAAUUCUAAGGUGAGCGAGCGAACUCUCGUUAAGGAACUCGGCAAAAUGACCCCGUAACUUCGGGAGAAGGGGUGCUCUUUAGGGUUAACGCCCAGAAGAGCCGCAGUGAAUAGGCCCAAGCGACUGUUUAUCAAAAACACAGGUCUCUGCUAAACCGUAAGGUGAUGUAUAGGGGCUGACGCCUGCCCGGUGCUGGAAGGUUAAGAGGAGUGGUUAGCUUCUGCGAAGCUACGAAUCGAAGCCCCAGUAAACGGCGGCCGUAACUAUAACGGUCCUAAGGUAGCGAAAUUCCUUGUCGGGUAAGUUCCGACCCGCACGAAAGGCGUAACGAUUUGGGCACUGUCUCAACGAGAGACUCGGUGAAAUCAUAGUACCUGUGAAGAUGCAGGUUACCCGCGACAGGACGGAAAGACCCCGUGGAGCUUUACUGUAGCCUGAUAUUGAAAUUCGGCACAGCUUGUACAGGAUAGG
Molecule: ribosomal RNA, 543 nt
Filed under: Staphylococcus aureus
Lineage: Bacteria; Bacillati; Bacillota; Bacilli; Caryophanales; Staphylococcaceae
Description: partial 23S ribosomal RNA
Rfam family: Bacterial large subunit ribosomal RNA
Source: RNAcentral